UACGUAGGGUGCGAGCGUUGUCCGGAAUUAUUGGGCGUAAAGAGCUUGUAGGCGGUUUGUCGCGUCUGCCGUGAAAAUCCGAGGCUCAACCUCGGACUUGCGGUGGGUACGGGCAGACUAGAGUGUGGUAGGGGAGACUGGAAUUCCUGGUGUAGCGGUGAAAUGCGCAGAUAUCAGGAGGAACACCGAUGGCGAAGGCAGCCUCCUGGGCCAACACUGACGCUCAUGCACGAAAGCGUGGGGAGCAAACAGG
This 253-nucleotide ribosomal RNA is filed under the name uncultured bacterium. RNAcentral describes it as "partial 16S ribosomal RNA". It matches the Rfam family "Bacterial small subunit ribosomal RNA", at positions 524 to 776 of the family's 1533-position model. The record is from RNAcentral.